This 77-nucleotide transfer RNA is filed under the name Amycolatopsis rhizosphaerae. RNAcentral's name for it is "tRNA-Gln". It matches the Rfam family "tRNA". From Rfam's summary of the family: Transfer RNA (tRNA) molecules are approximately 80 nucleotides in length. Their secondary structure includes four short double-helical elements and three loops (D, anti-codon, and T loops). The record is from RNAcentral. Lineage: Bacteria; Bacillati; Actinomycetota; Actinomycetes; Pseudonocardiales; Pseudonocardiaceae.
UGCCCGUUGGUCCAGAUCGGCAUGGACACCGCGCUCUGAACGCGGAGACCGAGGUUCGAACCCUCGACGGGCAGCGA